CAGCUCGUUGGUGGGGUAAGAGCCUACCAAGGCCACGAUCGGUAGCUGGUCUGAGAGGACGAUCAGCCACACUGGGAUUGAGAACGGCCCAGACUCCUACGGGGGGCAGCAGUGAGGAAUUUUCGGCAAUGGGGGCAACCCUGACCGAGCAACGCCGCGUGCAGGAAGAAGGUUUUCGGAUCGUAAACUGCUUUUCCCUGGGACGAGCAAGGACGGUACCAGAGGAAGAAGCCCCGGCUAACUACGUGCCAGCAGCCGCGGUAAUACGUAGGGGGCGAGCGUUGUCCGGAGUUACUGGGCGUAAAGCGCACGCAGGCGGUCGUGUCAGUUUGGGGUUACAGCUCCCGGCUCAACCGGGAGAGCGCCUCGAAGACGGCAGGACUUGAGGGCCAGAGAGGGACACAGAAUUCCGGGUGGAGUGGUGAAAUGCGUAGAUAUCCGGAGGAAUACCAAAGGCGAAGGCAGUGUCCUGGCUGGUACCUGACGCUCACGUGCGAAAGCUAGG
Molecule: ribosomal RNA, 505 nt
Filed under: uncultured bacterium
Lineage: Bacteria
Description: SSU rRNA
Rfam family: Bacterial small subunit ribosomal RNA
Source: RNAcentral